CGAUCUCGUUAGGGGUGCCCGCAGCACGGGGCUGAGAAAGACCCUUUGAACCUGAUCCGGCUCAUACCGGCGUAGGGAAACGUAUCCAUGCAUAC
RNAcentral lists this non-coding RNA (95 nucleotides) under Thauera sp. 27. RNAcentral's name for it is "TPP riboswitch aptamer (THI element)". It matches the Rfam family "TPP riboswitch aptamer (THI element)". From Rfam's summary of the family: Vitamin B(1) in its active form thiamin pyrophosphate (TPP) is an essential coenzyme that is synthesised by coupling of pyrimidine and thiazole moieties in bacteria. RNAcentral also lists the same sequence under 1 other name. Lineage: Bacteria; Pseudomonadati; Pseudomonadota; Betaproteobacteria; Rhodocyclales; Zoogloeaceae. The record is from Rfam by way of RNAcentral.